GGGCUCGUCUUUGUCCGAGGCCUAUUUUUGGCACACGGAGGACCCUCGUAAAGUCUCGCGGCAUUCCGAGUCCGGCGGACGAAGUUGGCCAGCCCCACCCCCCAAGGCUAUAGCCCACCCGUUUUUGUGGCCUUUUUCCGCUGGAACUUGGCGCCCCGGCCUUCGGGCGGUUAUUUUUGGGCGCGGCUUUGCCCGCGGCCUAUUUUUGGAACAUGGAGGCCCCUCGCAAAUUCUCGUGGCAUUCCGAGUCCGGCGGAUUAAGUUGGCCAGCCCCACCCCCCAAAGCUAUAGCCCACCCGUUUUUGUGGCUUUUUUCCGCUGGACGAACUUGGCGCCCCGGCCUUCGGGUGGUUAUUUUUGGGCGCGGCUCCGCCCGCGGCCUAUUUUUGGCACACGGAGGCCCCUCGAAAAGUCUCGCGGCAUUCCGAGUCCGGCGGACGAAGUGGGCCAUCCCCACCCCCCAAGGCUAUAGCCCACCCGUUUUUGUGGCCUUUUUCCGCUGGACGAACUUGGCGACCCGGCCUUCGGGCUGUUAUCUUUGGGCGUGGCUUUGCCCUCGGCGUAUUUUUGGAACACGGUGGCCCCUCGCAAUGUUUCGCGGCAUUCCGAGUCCGGUGGACGAAGUGGGCCAGCCCCAACCCCCAAGGCUAUAGCCCACCCGUUUUUGUCGCCUUUUUCCGCUGGACAAACUUGGCGCCCCGGGCUUUCGGGCUGUUAUUUCUGGGCGCGGCUUUGUCCGCGGCCAAUUUUUGGCACACGGAGGCCCCUCGCAAAGUCUCGCGGCAUUCCGAGUCCGGCGGACGAAGUUGGCCAGCCCCACCCCCCAAGGCUAUAGCCCACCUGUUUUUGUUGCUUUUUCGCUGGACGAACUUGGCGCCCCGGCCUUCGGGUGGUUAUUUUUGGGCGCGGCUUUGCCCGCGGCCUAUUUUUAGCACAUGGAGGACCCUCGCAAGGUCUCGCGGCAUUCCGUGUCCGGCGGACAAAGUUGGCCAGCCCCACCCCCGAAGGCUAUAGCCCACCCGUUUUUGUGGCCUUUUACCGCUGGACGAACUUGGCGCACCGGCCUUCGGGUUGUUAUUUUUGGGCGCGGCUUUGCCCGCGGAUUAUUUUUGGCACACGUAGGUCCCUCGCAAUGUCUCGUGGCAUUCCGAGUCCGGCGGACGAAGUUGGCCAGCCCCACCCCCCAAGGCUAUAGCCCACCCGUUUUUGUGGCCUUUUUCCGCUGGACGAACUUGGCGCCCCGUCCUUCUGGCGGUUAUUUUUGGGCUCGUCUUUGUCCGAGGCCUAUUUUUGGCACACGGAGGACCCUCGUAAAGUCUCGCGGCAUUCCGAGUCCGGCGGACGAAGUUGGCCAGCCCCACCCCCCAAGGCUAUAGCCCACCCGUUUUUGUGGCCUUUUUCCGCUGGAACUUGGCGCCCCGGCCUUCGGGCGGUUAUUUUUGGGCGCGGCUUUGCCCGCGGCCUAUUUUUGGAACAUGGAGGCCCCUCGCAAAUUCUCGUGGCAUUCCGAGUCCGGCGGAUUAAGUUGGCCAGCCCCACCCCCCAAAGCUAUAGCCCACCCGUUUUUGUGGCUUUUUUCCGCUGGACGAACUUGGCGCCCCGGCCUUCGGGUGGUUAUUUUUGGGCGCGGCUCCGCCCGCGGCCUAUUUUUGGCACACGGAGGCCCCUCGAAAAGUCUCGCGGCAUUCCGAGUCCGGCGGACGAAGUGGGCCAUCCCCACCCCCCAAGGCUAUAGCCCACCCGUUUUUGUGGCCUUUUUCCGCUGGACGAACUUGGCGACCCGGCCUUCGGGCGGUUAUCUUUGGGCGUGGCUUUGCCCUCGGCGUAUUUUUGGAACACGGUGGCCCCUCGCAAUGUUUCGCGGCAUUCCGAGUCCGGUGGACGAAGUGGGCCAGCCCCAACCCCCAAGGCUAUAGCCCACCCGUUUUUGUCGCCUUUUUCCGCUGGACAAACUUGGCGCCCCGGCCUUCGGGCUUUUAUUUCUGGGCGCGGCUUUGUCCGCGGCCAAUUUUUGGCACACGGAGGCCCCUCGCAAAGUCUCGCGGCAUUCCGAGUCCGGCGGACGAAGUUGGCCAGCCCCACCCCCCAAGGCUAUAGCCCACCUGUUUGUGUUGCCUUUUUCCGCUGGACGAACUUGGCGCCCCGGCCUUCGGGUGGUUAUUUUUGGGCGCGGCUUUGCCCGCGGCCUAUUUUUUGCACACGGAGGCCCCUCGCAAAGUCUCGCGGCAUUCCGAGUCCGGCGGACGAAGUUGGCCAGCCCCAACCCCCAAGGCUAUAGCCCACCCGUUUUUGUGGCCUUUUUCCGCUGGACGAAUUCGGCGCCCCGGGCUUCGGGCAGUUAUUUUUGGGCGCGGCUUUAUCCGCAGCCUAUGUUUGGCACACGGAGGCCACUCGGAAAGUCUCGCGGCAUUCCGUGUCCGGCGGACGAAGUUGGCCAGCCCCACCCCCCAAGGCUAUAGCCCACCCGUUUUUGUGGCCUUUUUCCGCAGGACGAACAAGGCGCCCCGGCCUUCGGGCGGUUAUUUUUGGGCGCGGCUUUGCCCGCGGCCUAUUUUUGGAACAUGGAGGCCCCUCGCAAAUUCUCGUGGCAUUCCGAGUCCGGCGGAUUAAGUUGGCCAGCCCCACCCCCCAAAGCUAUAGCCCACCCAUUUUUGUGGCUUUUUUCCGCUGGACGAACUUGGCGCCUCGGCCUUCGGAUGGUUAUUUUUGGGCGCGGCUCCGCCCGCGGCCCAUUUUGGCACACGGAGGCCCCUCGAAAAUCUCGCGGCAUUCCGAGUCCGGCGGACGNNNNNNNNNNNNNNNNNNNNNNNNNNNNNNNNNNNNNNNNNNNNNNNNNNNNNNNNNNNNNNNNNNNNNNNNNNNNNNNNNNNNNNNNNNNNNNNNNNNNNNNNNCGGCUUUGCCCUCGGCCUAUUUUUGGAACACGGAGGCCCCUCGCAAAGUCUCGCGGCAUUCCGAGUCCGGUGGACGAAGUGGGCCAGCCCCAACCCCCAAGGCUAUAGCCCACCCGUUUUUGUGGCCUUUUUCCGCUGGACAAACUUGGCGCCCCGGCCUUCGGGCUGUUAUUUCUGGGCGCGGCUUUGUCCGCGGCCAAUUUUUGGCACACGGAGGCCCCUCGCAAAGUCUCGCGGCAUUCCGAGUCCGGCGGACGAAGUUGGCCAGCCCCACCCCCCAAGGCUAUAGCCCACCUGUUUUUGUUGCCUUUUUCGCUGGACGAACUUGGCGCCCCGGCCUUCGGGUGGUUAUUUUUGGGCGCGGCUUUGCCCGCGGCCUAUUUUUUGCACACGGAGGCCCCUCGCAAAGUCUCGCGGCAUUCCGAGUCCGGCGGACGAAGUUGGCCAGCCCCAACCCCCAAGGCUAUAGCCCACCCGUUUUUGUGGCCUUUUUCCGCUGGACGAAUUCGGCGCCCCGGGCUUCGGGCAGUUAUUUUUGGGCGCGGCUUUAUCCGCAGCCUAUGUUUGGCACACGGAGGCCCCUCGGAAAGUCUCGCGGCAUUCCGUGUCCGGCGGACGAAGUUGGCCAGCCCCACCCCCCAAGGCUAUAGCCCACCCGUUUUUGUGGCCUUUUUCCGCUGGACGAACAUGGCGCCCCGGCCUUUGGCCGGUUAUUUCUUGGCACGGCUUUGUCCGCGGCCUAUUUUUGGCACACAGGGGCCCCUCGUAAAGUCUCGCAGUAUUCCGAGUCCGGUGGACGAAGUGGGCCAGCCCCACCUCCCAAGGCUAUAGCCCACCCGUUUUUGUGGCCUUUUUCCGCUGGACAAACUUGGCGCCCCGGCCUUCGGGCGGUUAUUUCUGGGCGCGGCUUUGCCCGUGGCCUAUUUUUUGCACACGGGAGCCCCUCGCAAAGUCUCACGGCAUUCUGAGUCCGGCGGACGAAGUUGGCCAGCCCCACCCCCCAAGGCUAUAGCCCACCCGUUUUUGUGGCCUUUUUCCGCUGGACGAACUUGGCGCCCCGGCCUUUGGGUGAUUAUUUUUGGGCGCGGCUUUGCCCGCGGCCUAUUUUUGGCACACGGAGACCCCUCGCAAAGUCUCACGGCAUUCCGAGUCCGGCGGACGAAGUUGGCCAGCCCCACCCCCCAAGGCUAUAGCCCACCCGUUUUUGUGGCCUUUUUCGCUGGACGAACAUGGCGCCCCGGCCUUUGGCCGGUUAUUUCUUGGCACGGCUUUGUCCGCGGCCUAUUUUUGGCACACAGGGGCCCCUCGUAAAGUCUCGCGGUAUUCCGAGUCCGGUGGACGAAGUGGGCCAGCCCCACCUCCCAAGGCUAUAGCCCACCCGUUUUUGUGGCCUUUUUCCGCUGGACAAACUUGGCGCCCCGGCCUUCGGGCGGUUAUUUCUGGGCGCGGCUUUGCCCGUGGCCUAUUUUUUGCACACGGAGGCCCCUCGCAAAGUCUCACGGCAUUCCGAGUCCGGCGGACGAAGUUGGCCAGCCCCACCCCCCAAGGCUAUAGCCCACCCGUUUUUGUUGCCUUUUUCCGCUGGACGAACUUGGCGCCCCGGCCUUUGGGUGAUUAUUUUUGGGCGCGGCUUUGCCCGCGGCCUAUUUUUGGCACACGGAGACCCCUCGCAAAGUCUCGCGGCAUUCCGAGUCCGGUAGACGAAGUUGGCCAGCCCCAACCCCCAAGGCUAUAGCCCGCCCGUUUUUGUGGCCUUUUUCCGCUGCACGAAUUCGGCGCCCCGGGCUUCGGGCACAUAUUUUUGGGCGCGGCUUUGUCCACGGCCUAUUUUUGGCACACGGAGGCCCCUCGCAAAGCCUCACGGCAUUCCGAGUCCGGCGGACGAAGUUGGCCAGCCCCACCCCCCAAGGCUAUAGCCCACCCGUUUUUGUGGCCUUUUUCCGCUGGAUGAACUUGGCGCCCCGGCCCUCGGGCGGUUAUUUCUAGGCGCGGCUUUGCCUGCGGCCUAUUUUUGGCACACGGAGGGCCCUCGCAAAGUCUCGCGGCAUUCCGAGUCCGGCGGACGAAGUUGGCCAGCCCCACCCCCCAAGGCUAUAGCCCACCCGUUUUUGUGGCCUUUUUCCGCUGGACGAACUUGGCGCCCCAGUCUUCGGGCGGUUAUUUUUGGGCGCGGCAUUGUCCGCGGCCUAUAUUUGGCACACGGAGGCCCAUCGCAAAUUCUCGCGGCAUUCCGAGUCCAGCGGACGAAGUGGGCCAGCCCCACCCCCCAAGGCGAUAGCCCACCCGUUUUUGUGGACUUUUUCCGCUGGACGAACUUGGCGCCCCGGCCUUCGGACGGUUAUUUCUUGGCGGACGAAGUUGGCCAGCCCCACCCACCAAGGCCCACCCGUUUUUGUGGCCUUUUUCCGCUGAACGAACGUGGCGCCCCGGCCUUCGGGCGGUUAUUUUUGGAUGCGGCUUUGCCCGCGGCCUCUUUUUGGCACACGGAGGCCCCUCGCAAAGUCUCGCGGCAUUCCGAGUCCGGCGGACGAAGUUGGCCAGCCCCACCCCCCAAGGCUAUAGCCCACCAGUUUUUGUGGCCUUUUUCUGCUGGACGAACUUGGCGCCCCGUCCUUCGGCCGGUUAUUUCUUGGCGCGGCUUUGCCCGCGGCAUAUUUUUGGCACACGGAGGCCCCUCACAAAGUCUCGCAGCAUUCCGAGUCCGGCGGAUGAAGUUGGCCAGCCCCACCCCCCAAGGCCCACCCGUUUUUGUGGCCUUUUACCGCUGUACGAACUUGGCGCCCCGGCCUUCGGGCGGUUAUUUUUGGGCGCGGCUUUGCCCGUGGCCUAUUUUUGGCACACGGAGGCCCCUCGCAAAGUCUCAAGGCAUUCCG
This 5765-nucleotide long non-coding RNA is filed under the name Citrus x clementina. Its description in RNAcentral is "Citrus clementina (C. clementina) long non-coding RNA (CCLE_LNC001242)". Lineage: Eukaryota; Viridiplantae; Streptophyta; Magnoliopsida; Sapindales; Rutaceae. The record is from RNAcentral.